Molecule: long non-coding RNA, 446 nt
Organism: Rhincodon typus (whale shark)
Lineage: Eukaryota; Metazoa; Chordata; Chondrichthyes; Orectolobiformes; Rhincodontidae
Exons: 3
Source: RefSeq, a predicted model, not a curated record
UUGCUUUUCCAACCAUCGUGAGUCUCUUCCACCGGCUUUGCUUACCUGGAUUUUGCACAGAGAAACUCAAUCAACCUCACCAACAUGUUUCCAGGUUACACCAGGGCUCUGUCUGCCUACCUUGACGGGGCUGUAUUGAAGAACGAAGAUCGUAUUCGUGGCUCGGGCCUGACAGGAUUUGGCAAUAGCUGCCAGGAAAGCAAGUAGAUAUACAAUCACACAUGCCCGCGUGGAAGAAACCCAAUGCCCACCAUGCCCGAUAAAGCAAGUUCUGUCUUGAAGUGAAUGUAUUAUCCAGCAAAGAGGGCAUGCACAAUCUGAGAAAGGACCCUCAAUCAACCAGCAGCAUUACCACCUCUGAAUCCGCCUUGACGAGAAACUGAACUGGGCCAAUCCAUUUGGAUAUUGUGGCUACACGAGCAGGUCACAGAUUGGGAAUCCUGCAG